RNAcentral lists this transfer RNA (73 nucleotides) under Lachnospiraceae bacterium. RNAcentral describes it as "tRNA-Phe". It matches the Rfam family "tRNA". Rfam says of the family: Transfer RNA (tRNA) molecules are approximately 80 nucleotides in length. Their secondary structure includes four short double-helical elements and three loops (D, anti-codon, and T loops). Further hydrogen bonds mediate the characteristic L-shaped molecular structure. tRNAs have two regions of fundamental functional importance: the anti-codon, which is responsible for specific mRNA codon recognition, and the 3' end, to which the tRNAs corresponding amino acid is attached (by aminoacyl-tRNA synthetases). tRNAs cope with the degeneracy of the genetic code in two manners: having more than one tRNA (with a specific anti-codon) for a particular amino acid; and 'wobble' base-pairing, i.e. permitting non-standard base-pairing at the 3rd anti-codon position. The record is from RNAcentral. Lineage: Bacteria; Bacillati; Bacillota; Clostridia; Lachnospirales; Lachnospiraceae.
GGGACCUUAGCUCAGUUGGUAGAGCGGCAGAUUGAAGAUCUGCGCGUCUCUGGUUCGAUUCCAGAAGGUCCCA